RNAcentral lists this ribosomal RNA (256 nucleotides) under uncultured bacterium. RNAcentral's name for it is "partial 16S ribosomal RNA". It matches the Rfam family "Bacterial small subunit ribosomal RNA", at positions 524 to 777 of the family's 1533-position model. The record is from RNAcentral.
UACGAAGGGGGGCUAGCGUUGCUCGGAAUUACUGGGCGUAAAGCGCACGUAGGCGGCUUGUUAAGUCAGGGGUGAAAUCCUGGAGCUCAACUCCAGAACUGCCUUUGAUACUGGCGAGCUUGAGUUCGGGAGAGGUGAGUGGAACUGCGAGUGUAGAGGUGAAAUUCGUAGAUAUUCGCAAGAACACCAGUGGCGAAGGCGGCUCACUGGCCCGAUACUGACGCUGAGGUGCGAAAGCGUGGGGGAGCAAACAGGG